Myodes glareolus (Bank vole) is the source of this 374-nucleotide long non-coding RNA. RefSeq lists it as uncharacterized. The record is from RefSeq and is a predicted model, not a curated record. NCBI's taxonomy places the organism in Eukaryota, Metazoa, Chordata, Mammalia, Rodentia, Cricetidae.
CACUCAGGAAUGGUGACAGAGAUGUGCCUCUCCCUCACAUGCUUCCCCUUCAUUAGGUAAAGAUAGAAAUGGCCUAUCCACCCACGUCACCACAAACCUGCACUAUCAUAUGACAUCCAGGUCACAGAUUUAUUUCUGAAGCAACUUUAUUCUUAGUUUCCAUCAUCCCCCUGAAUGGAACAAGAAUUUAUAGCUCGCGGGGACACUGCCAGAGUAUUUCAAGUGAUGUAACCAGCUGUCCUAAACAUAUUGGAAGGAAAACAACAGAGGGUCCAGCUGAGAGUAUAAAGCAAGAGAUACUUAACAUGUCUGUUGACCCAGCUCAGGAAGAAGACCAGAAAAGUACAGAAAAAUAGAGACAAGGGGAGAUUGUA